RNAcentral lists this ribosomal RNA (488 nucleotides) under Escherichia coli. RNAcentral's name for it is "partial 23S ribosomal RNA". It matches the Rfam family "Bacterial large subunit ribosomal RNA", at positions 2455 to 2925 of the family's 2925-position model. Lineage: Bacteria; Pseudomonadati; Pseudomonadota; Gammaproteobacteria; Enterobacterales; Enterobacteriaceae. The record is from RNAcentral.
GAUAAAAGGUACUCCGGGGAUAACAGGCUGAUACCGCCCAAGAGUUCAUAUCGACGGCGGUGUUUGGCACCUCGAUGUCGGCUCAUCACAUCCUGGGGCUGAAGUAGGUCCCAAGGGUAUGGCUGUUCGCCAUUUAAAGUGGUACGCGAGCUGGGUUUAGAACGUCGUGAGACAGUUCGGUCCCUAUCUGCCGUGGGCGCUGGAGAACUGAGGGGGGCUGCUCCUAGUACGAGAGGACCGGAGUGGACGCAUCACUGGUGUUCGGGUUGUCAUGCCAAUGGCACUGCCCGGUAGCUAAAUGCGGAAGAGAUAAGUGCUGAAAGCAUCUAAGCACGAAACUUGCCCCGAGAUGAGUUCUCCCUGACCCUUUAAGGGUCCUGAAGGAACGUUGAAGACGACGACGUUGAUAGGCCGGGUGUGUAAGCGCAGCGAUGCGUUGAGCUAACCGGUACUAAUGAACCGUGAGGCUUAACCUUACAACGCCGAAG